This 949-nucleotide ribosomal RNA is filed under the name Pseudomonas sp. enrichment culture clone R2.F-52. RNAcentral describes it as "bacterial SSU rRNA". It matches the Rfam family "Bacterial small subunit ribosomal RNA", at positions 11 to 957 of the family's 1533-position model. The record is from RNAcentral. Lineage: Bacteria; Pseudomonadati; Pseudomonadota; Gammaproteobacteria; Pseudomonadales; Pseudomonadaceae.
GUUUGAUCAUGGCUCAGAUUGAACGCUGGCGGCAGGCCUAACACAUGCAAGUCGAGCGGUAGAGAGAAGCUUGCUUCUCUUGAGAGCGGCGGACGGGUGAGUAAUGCCUAGGAAUCUGCCUGGUAGUGGGGGAUAACGUUCGGAAACGGACGCUAAUACCGCAUACGUCCUACGGGAGAAAGCAGGGGACCUUCGGGCCUUGCGCUAUCAGAUGAGCCUAGGUCGGAUUAGCUAGUUGGUGAGGUAAUGGCUCACCAAGGCGACGAUCCGUAACUGGUCUGAGAGGAUGAUCAGUCACACUGGAACUGAGACACGGUCCAGACUCCUACGGGAGGCAGCAGUGGGGAAUAUUGGACAAUGGGCGAAAGCCUGAUCCAGCCAUGCCGCGUGUGUGAAGAAGGUCUUCGGAUUGUAAAGCACUUUAAGUUGGGAGGAAGGGUUGUAGAUUAAUACUCUGCAAUUUUGACGUUACCGACAGAAUAAGCACCGGCUAACUCUGUGCCAGCAGCCGCGGUAAUACAGAGGGUGCAAGCGUUAAUCGGAAUUACUGGGCGUAAAGCGCGCGUAGGUGGUUUGUUAAGUUGGAUGUGAAAUCCCCGGGCUCAACCUGGGAACUGCAUUCAAAACUGACUGACUAGAGUAUGGUAGAGGGUGGUGGAAUUUCCUGUGUAGCGGUGAAAUGCGUAGAUAUAGGAAGGAACACCAGUGGCGAAGGCGACCACCUGGACUAAUACUGACACUGAGGUGCGAAAGCGUGGGGAGCAAACAGGAUUAGAUACCCUGGUAGUCCACGCCGUAAACGAUGUCAACUAGCCGUUGGAAGCCUUGAGCUUUUAGUGGCGCAGCUAACGCAUUAAGUUGACCGCCUGGGGAGUACGGCCGCAAGGUUAAACUCAAAUGAAUUGACGGGGCCCGCACAGCGGUGGAGCAUGUGGUUUUAAUUCGAAGC